RNAcentral lists this ribosomal RNA (645 nucleotides) under Muribacter muris. RNAcentral's name for it is "bacterial SSU rRNA". It matches the Rfam family "Bacterial small subunit ribosomal RNA", at positions 83 to 730 of the family's 1533-position model. Lineage: Bacteria; Pseudomonadati; Pseudomonadota; Gammaproteobacteria; Pasteurellales; Pasteurellaceae. The record is from RNAcentral.
CUUUGCUGACGAGUGGCGGANGGGUGAGUAAUGCUUGGGAAUCUGGCUUAUGGAGGGGGAUAACUACUGGAAACGGUAGCUAAUACCGCGUAAUGUCUACGGACUAAAGGGGGCGAAAGCUCUUGCCAUAAGAUGAGCCCAAGUGGGAUUAGGUAGUUGGUGAGGUAACGGCUCACCAAGCCGUCGAUCUCUAGCUGGUCUGAGAGGAUGACCAGCCACACUGGAACUGAGACACGGUCCAGACUCCUACGGGAGGCAGCAGUGGGGAAUAUUGCACAAUGGGGGAAACCCUGAUGCAGCCAUGCCGCGUGAAUGAAGAAGGCCUUCGGGUUGUAAAGUUCUUUCGGUGAUGAGGAAGGUGUGAUGGUUAAUACCCAUGACAAUUGACGUUAGUCACAGAAGAAGCACCGGCUAACUCCGUGCCAGCAGCCGCGGUAAUACGGAGGGUGCAAGCGUUAAUCGGAAUAACUGGGCGUAAAGGGCACGCAGGCGGUUGUUUAAGUGAGGUGUGAAAGCCCUGGGCUCAACCUGGGAAUUGCAUUUCAGACUGGACAACUAGAGUACUUUAGGGAGGGGUAGAAUUCCACGUGUAGCGGUGAAAUGCGUAGAGAUGUGGAGGAAUACCGAAGGCGAAGGCAGCCCCUU